RNAcentral lists this long non-coding RNA (2029 nucleotides) under Homo sapiens (human). Its description in RNAcentral is "non-protein coding lnc-DRD5-29:4". Lineage: Eukaryota; Metazoa; Chordata; Mammalia; Primates; Hominidae. The record is from RNAcentral.
AGCUGCUCCGCACAGCCCCGCCUGGCACGCAGCUCCAGCGGCUGGUCGGGUAGUAGUCGGUCCCGCCCACCCGGUGCGGUGGCCCCUGGGGUUUCAGUCCAAGGGGAGGGACCAGCGCUCCAAGAAGGUGAGGCUGCUGGGAUGGGUGACUCCGCCGUCACUGCAAACACGGGACGUCCCGUCUACUCCCUUACGCCUGCUUGGUCUGAGCCCGAGUCUACCUCUUCUCUAAGUCGCCAGCUCGGCACUUGUACCCGGGACCUGUGCUCCUCCCACAAGAAAUUAAAUCAUUUUUGGGAAGCCCUCAAGGUACCAUAAGCUCUGGGCAGUGUGCCUAAGACUUCUAAUGGAGAAUUUAGCCCUGUGCAGAUGAUAUUGCAGAGGAGGAAUGCUUAGUUAAUUUAGUUCCAGGAUACCUGUGCAGGACAUGACAUGCAGGUUUGUCAUGUAGGUAAACAUGUGCCAUGGUGGUUUGCUGCACCUGUCGACCCAUCACCUAGAAGGAAAAAAUUGGACACGGAGAUAAGGACAGAGGAAAGAUGAUGUGAAGACAGGGGCAGAAGUCAGCCAUCUACAAGUCAAAGGGAGACAUGUGGAACAGAUUCACCCUCACAGCCCUCAGAUGGAAGCAACACCACUAACACUUUGCUCUUGGACUUCUAGCUUCCAGAACUGAGAGACAAUAUCUUUCUGUUGCUUAAGUCAUUCUGUCUGUGAUACUGUGUUUAUGGCAGCCCUGGCAAACUAAUACAGUCCCACAAAGAUUUGGUUGUUGCUUUGCAAGAGAAUGUAUAAUUCCUGGUUAUUUCUACAAAUAAGGGCAUUGACUUUAUAAAGCUACAAGUAUACCCCAGUAUUCUGUUUCUGGUUUUUGUUUACUUUCAUAUAUGCUAUCUUUUCAUUCCCAGGUGAAAUCAUAGUGCAUUUUAAAUGAUAUUUUAAAGAGCAAUUAUACUCGUCAUAUGUACUUCAAAUAAUACUGAUUCCUCAAUUGAAGUAAUGGUAACAUGAGUGUAUUAGUUAAUUUUUUCUGAAUAACUAGUUACCUCCAAAGUUCAUGCCUUCAAGCAACACAUAUUCAUUAUUUCACAGCUUCUUUGGGUCAGGAGUCUUGGCAUAGCUUAGCUGAGUCCUCUGGCUCCUGGCGUCCCAGGCUGUAAUCAAGGUGGUGGCCAGGACUGUAGUCAUGUCAGGGCUCGCCAGGGAAGGAUCUGCCUCCAAGCUAACCAGUGUGGCUUUUGGCAGAAUAUAUUUCUAUGCAGGUUGUUGGACUGAGUUUCUUGCUGGCUGUUCCAGAGGUUCCCUUAGCAUCUUGUCGUGUGGCCUCUUCAUAGGUCAAUUCAUAUUGGCUUCAUCAAAGUGAGCAGGUAAGAUAGCAAAAGAGAAUGCCCAAGAUAGAAGCCAUAGUCUUUUUGUAAUCUAAUCUUAGAAGUGACAGCCUGUUAUAUUUGCUAUAUUCUCUUUGUUAGAAACAAGUUUCUAGGGCUGGGCAUGGUGGCUCACAUCUGUAAUCCCAGCAUUUUGGGAGGCCGAGACAGGCAGAUCACCUGAGGUCAGGAGUUCGAGACCAGCCUGGCCAACAUGGCGAAAUCCUGUCUCUACUAAAAAUACAAAGCCGAGUGUGGUGGCGCAGGCCUGUAAUCCCAGCUACUUGGGAGGCUAAGGCAGGAGAAGCACUUGAACCUGGGUGGUGGAGGUUGCAGUGAGCCAAGAUUGUGCCACUGCACUCCAGCCUGGGUGACAGAGUGAGACUCCAUCUCAAAAAACAAACAAACAAAAAACCAAAUUACUAGGUUUGUCUCAUUCUCAAGGGAAGAGUUUACUCAAGAGAAUAAAUACCAGGAGGUUGGGAUCACUGGAGGCCAGUUUAGAGUCUGCCUACCAAUAGGAGCAAGGCCAUCAAUGUCAGUCAGUGACAUCAACAUCAUGUAGACUGCUUGGCCAACAGUAAUGCUAAAAUGCCAUCAAUCUUGAGAUCAUCUUCAUCUCAUAAAUAUUAACAUGUAAAAAAAGUCAUUUUAAAGUAAAG